RNAcentral lists this ribosomal RNA (253 nucleotides) under uncultured bacterium. Its description in RNAcentral is "partial 16S ribosomal RNA". It matches the Rfam family "Bacterial small subunit ribosomal RNA", at positions 524 to 776 of the family's 1533-position model. The record is from RNAcentral.
UACGUAGGCAGCGAGCGUUGUUCGGAGUUACUGGGCGUAAAGGGUGCGUAGGCGGUUGUUUAAGUUUGGUGUGAAAUCUCCCGGCUCAACUGGGAGGGUGCGCCGAAUACUGAAUGACUAGAGUGCGGGAGAGGAUAGUGGAAUUCCUGGUGUAGCGGUGAAAUGCGUAGAUAUCAGGAGGAACACCGGUGGUGUAGACGGCUAUCUGGACCGUAACUGACGCUGAAGCACGAAAGCGUGGGGAGCGAACAGG